AUUGAACGCUGGCGGCAGGCCUAACACAUGCAAGUCGAGCGGAUGAAGGGUGCUUGCUUGCGGAUUCAGCGGCGGACGGGCGGGUAAUGCAUAGGAACCUCCCUGGUAGCGGGUGCUAACGUCCGGACACGGGGGCUAAUACGGCAUACGCGCAUACGACCUACGGGGGGGAUCAUCGGAUCUUCGGCCCUUAGAUGAGUCGAGGGGGGGAUAGCUAGUUGGGGGGGUAAAGGGCUACCGAGGCGACGAGCCGUCGCUGGUCUGCGAGGAUGAUCAGUCACACUGGAACUGAGACACGGUCCAGACUCCUACGGGAGGCAGCAGUGGGGAAUAUUGGGCAAUGGGCGAAAGCCUGAUCCAGCCAUGCCGCGUGGGUGAAGAAGGUCUUCGGGUUGUAAAGCACUUUUGGUGGGGAGGAAGGGCAGUAGGUUAAUACCGGGCUGUUUUGACGGUACCAAAAGAAUAAGCACCGGCUAACUUCGUG
This 484-nucleotide ribosomal RNA is filed under the name uncultured bacterium. RNAcentral's name for it is "partial 16S ribosomal RNA". It matches the Rfam family "Bacterial small subunit ribosomal RNA", at positions 28 to 507 of the family's 1533-position model. The record is from RNAcentral.